GGAGAGCUCAGAGAUUGAGAAAUUUCGUGCAGAUGAACUGGAGCAGGCUGGCAUUGACGCUGCUCAUAAGAAGGAAGAGGAGUGGCAGAAAGAGCUUGAGAAUGUCCAAAACCAGCAUGCUGAGGACCUUGCAACACUACUCUCCUCCACUCAAGAGCUCCAAAGAGUAAAGCACGAACUCACGAUGACCGUCGAUGCAAAGAAUACUGCUCUGAGCCAUGCUGAUGAUGCAAUGAAGAUUGCUGAGAUCAAUGCAGAGAAGGUGAUGGUCCUGUCCGCUGAAGUUAACCGCCUGAAAGCUAUGCUCGAUACUAAGGUGGAGAAUAUGAGUACUGAAACUGCCGAACUGGUGAAGAAAUUGGACUGUGAGGUUGGUGCUUUGAAGUCUGAACUCGAAAGUGCAAAGGCUGCUGAGGAGAAAUUGCUCAAGAUGGAAGCAUCGGUUGAAGGGUUAAAGAAUGAGGUUACUGAUGCAAAGAGGGCUGAGACUGAUGCUGGUAAGCUAGUCGAUAAGUGGAAGACGAAGGCGGAGUUGUUGGAAGUUCAGC
Molecule: unclassified non-coding RNA, 548 nt
Filed under: Hevea brasiliensis (rubber tree)
Lineage: Eukaryota; Viridiplantae; Streptophyta; Magnoliopsida; Malpighiales; Euphorbiaceae
Source: RNAcentral